Molecule: non-coding RNA, 136 nt
Filed under: marine eukaryotic metagenome
Description: FMN riboswitch (RFN element)
Rfam family: FMN riboswitch aptamer (RFN element)
About the family: The RFN element is a highly conserved domain that is found frequently in the 5'-untranslated regions of prokaryotic mRNAs that encode for flavin mononucleotide (FMN) biosynthesis and transport proteins. This element is a metabolite-dependent riboswitch that directly binds FMN in the absence of proteins. In Bacillus subtilis, the riboswitch most likely controls gene expression by causing premature transcription termination within the 5' untranslated region of the ribDEAHT operon and precluding access to the ribosome-binding site of ypaA mRNA.
Source: RNAcentral
UGUUCUCAGGGCGGGGCGCAAUUCCCCACCGGCGGUAUGUGAAGUCUUUCACGAGCCCGCGAGCGGCCCAUCAAGGGUGUCAGCAGAUCUGGUGAGAUGCCAGAGCCGACGGUCAUAGUCCGGAUGAAAGAGAGCG